This 892-nucleotide ribosomal RNA is filed under the name uncultured bacterium. RNAcentral describes it as "bacterial SSU rRNA". It matches the Rfam family "Bacterial small subunit ribosomal RNA", at positions 54 to 937 of the family's 1533-position model. The record is from RNAcentral.
CAUGCAAGUCGAGGGGAAACGGCAUUAAGUGCUUGCACUUUUUGGACGUCGACCGGCGCACGGGUGAGUAACGCGUAUCCAACCUGCCCCUUACCAGGGAAUAACCCGUUGAAAGACGGACUAAUGCCCUAUGCAGUCCUUUGACGGCAUCAGAUUAGGACUAAAGAUUCAUCGGUAUGGGAUGGGGAUGCGUCUGAUUAGCUUGUUGGCGGGGUAACGGCCCACCAAGGCAUCGAUCAGUAGGGGUUCUGAGAGGAAGGUCCCCCACAUAGGAACUGAGACACGGUCCUAACUCCUACGGGAGGCAGCAGUGAGGAAUAUUGGUCAAUGGGCGCUAGCCUGAACCAGCCAAGUAGCGUGCAGGAUGACGGCCCUAUGGGUUGUAAACUGCUUUUAUGCGGGGAUAAAGUCACCCACGUGUGGGUGUUUGCAGGUACCGCAUGAAUAAGGACCGGCUAAUUCCGUGCCAGCAGCCGCGGUAAUACGGAAGGUCCGGGCGUUAUCCGGAUUUAUUGGGUUUAAAGGGAGUGUAGGCGGCCUGUUAAGCGUGUUGUGAAAUGUAGAUGCUCAACAUCUGAACUGCAGCGCGAACUGGCUGGCUUGAGUACACGCAACGUGGGCGGAAUUCAUGGUGUAGCGGUGAAAUGCUUAGAUAUCAUGAGGAACUCCUAUUGCGAAGGCAGCUCACGGGAGUGUCACUGACGCUUAAGCUCGAAGGUGCGGGUAUCAAACAGGAUUAGAUACCCUGGUAGUCCGCACGGUAAACGAUGGAUGCCCGCUGUUGGCGCUUUGCGUCAGCGGCUAAGCGAAAGCAUUAAGCAUCCCACCUGGGGAGUACGCCGGCAACGGUGAAACUCAAAGGAAUUGACGGGGGCCCGCACAAGCGGAGGAA